Molecule: long non-coding RNA, 355 nt
Organism: Limulus polyphemus (Atlantic horseshoe crab)
Lineage: Eukaryota; Metazoa; Arthropoda; Merostomata; Xiphosura; Limulidae
Exons: 3
Source: RefSeq, a predicted model, not a curated record
UAACACCAUAUUGUCAUGUAAGCAAAGAGAAAUAAAUUGAAGUUUAUGGAAAAAAGUAAACUAAACUGGCGUAGUCAGUUAGAUGAAAUGAUUGUGAUUUGUCAGUUAUUAUGUUAAAUAUUUUGUGCAGUGUUUUGUUAAAAGUUGGGUUUAUCGCUAUAUAUAAAAAAUUGACUAUUGAAACUUUUUUUGGAUGUUAUGGAUAAUAUUUACCAAGUAUCCACAAACCCACUCUUGAGGAUGUAGCAGUCAUUUGUUCUGCAGCUGCAAUUUAAGCAUCAUGUGACCAACUUUCUGUCAGUGAUGAUGAUGAUGUCACAAAAAUACCGUCUUUGUGCAUUUUGUGUAGGGAUGC